This is a non-coding RNA of Peromyscus maniculatus bairdii (prairie deer mouse), 1627 nucleotides long. NCBI's taxonomy places the organism in Eukaryota, Metazoa, Chordata, Mammalia, Rodentia, Cricetidae. The record is from RefSeq and is a predicted model, not a curated record.
CCCAAUCUAAUAGGCUCCAUCGCCUCCGGGGCCCGCCCCUGACGCCACAGCGGAAGGCGCCGCUCCGGGAUUGGACGAGCUGGCCUGUCAAUCAAGCGCGGCGCUGAGGGUUCGGUGAGCUGAGACUGCGCGGCGCUCAGACCGGAGAAGGUGAGGGAUGCUGGGCCUGUCGGCGGCGGUGUUCUUCCCCCAGCUUCCUCGGUGGCUGCUUACUUUCCGCCUCUCCCAGCGCUGCUGAAACCUGUCAUUAUAAUCGCUCGCUAAUGUCGGCCCCGAGUUCAGCCCAAACUGCUCUGGUUCCUGCACCUGAAGGGGCCGACCAGCUGCAGAUUCUUAGGGACAGGGAGCGACAAAGGAAAAAAUAAUAAUAAGCCUCGGAGAAAAAAUCACUCUCAGGACCAGCACCACAUCUGCCUAUGGGCCUCCAUGUUCCCGUCAUGAUGAUAAUGCACUGAACUUCUAAAACUGACUUGGGGUUGAAUCUACAGCAGCUUGCUACAUAAUAGACAGCACAGCUUUAAUCCAUAUUCAUGGGUUUCCAACUCGAUCGUAAAUCUCCCCUCCCUGAUCACCUCUCAUCUAUAGACUUCAGGCACAAUAUCAAGCUUCAUAUUAGCCCCUGUAUGAGAGGGCAUUUGUCGCUGCAGGCACCACCUGCUUGCUGGGUGGAAUAGGAAGUACUCUGGCAACCUCAGCAUCAUCUCCAACUCUGUGAAUGCAGGGCUGGAAGCUCAGGUGAACUCCAAAGAGUAGAUGGCAUUGUCCAACAUGUCUCCCAUCAGAAGUGACCAAGAGAGUAUCGAACAUCCCAGCUGAGUUCAAAGAAGGCUUCCAACCAUCUCAGAUAUGCAAGAAUCUCUGAACAAAAAAGGAACACCCCAGGCAAGUCUGCUCUCAGAUCCCCAAAACACUACAGGCACCACCUGCUCCCAUCACCCUGCUCUUCCUGCUGUUUGUCUGUGUAAGCACCAAACCUGAAUCCCCAAACUCCACUCCAGGUCAAUGUCUGGAAAUACUACAGAUUUGAUUUGUUUUGAUCAUAACUAAUUCUUCACAUAACAGACUGAUGUUACAAUUAGUAAAGUUACAAUUCAGUCACCUCUUUCCAUACACUAUAUAUAUAUUUCAGUAAAAUCCCAAAGAUAAGACCAUUAAAAAAUGAUCAUUAGAUGCCUCCUUGUAUCAGACCAAACUAUAAGUCACAUAUACAAUACCUGGGAGGCAACACAGUACACAUAGACAUAUUAACAUCACCACAUUCCAUUAAUGUCUUUAGAACACACGUGAACACACACACACACACACACACACACACACACACACUGCAAAGGUGAAGAGACUUAAGUUCCUGUCAUUGCCAAGGAAUCUGUACAUUAACGACAAGCGUUAGUCCAUCUCAUCAAAAGUUAGUUAGCAAUAUGUAUCAAAAGUUUAUGUGUAUGAGUUCUCCCAGCCAUGCCAUUUCUAAUAAUAGAACCUAAGGAGAUAAUCAGUAAGGCACAUAAAAUGCACACAUAAGUGCUGUGGGUUGUCCUGUAUGUUGUGAAUAAAUAAAACGCUGAUUGGCCAGUAACCAGGCAGGAAGUAUGGGAUAGGCGGGACAAACAGAGAGAAGAGGCUGGGAGGU